Molecule: long non-coding RNA, 2511 nt
Filed under: Equus caballus (horse)
Lineage: Eukaryota; Metazoa; Chordata; Mammalia; Perissodactyla; Equidae
Description: lncRNA (ENSECAG00000036145.3)
Source: RNAcentral
CUACUAAUUCAGCACAUUCAGAAAUCUGAGGGGCUGGCGGAUAGCGUAGUAGUUGGGUUUGUGUGUUCCACUUCCUAGCCUUGGUUUGCCGGUUCAGAUCCUGGGCAUGGACCUACACACUGCUCAUCAAGCCACGCUGAGGCUGCAUCCCACAUAGAAGAACUAGAAGGACUUACAACUAGGAUAUACAACUAAGUACUGGGGUUUUGAGAAGGAAAAAAAAAAGAGGAAGAUUGGCAACAUAUGUUAGCUCAGGGCCAAUCUUCAAAAAAAGCAAAGAAAUCUGAUAAGGCAGGUGACAUCUCAGCAAAGCCAGGGAGGAGACUAAAGCACAUCAUCUUACCGUGGGAGGAUAUACAUUUCCCUGCAUCCAGAUGAGCGCUGAGCUAACACCCACUGCCAAUCUUUCUCUGUUUUUGCUGAGGAAGAUUGGUCCCGAGCUAACAUCUGUGUCCAUCUUCCUUUGGUUCAUAAGUGGGACGCCUGCCACCGCAUGGCCUGAUAAGUGGUGCAUAGGUCUGCACCCAGGAUCUGAACUGAUCUGAAGGCAGGGUGUAUGCAGACGGUGAGAAUCAGCACGGGAUGGGGGCCGGCAUGGCAUGUGGGCUACGUGGGAUUCCGAAGCACUCCAGCAGCUGACCAAGGACCAGGACAGGGACUGAUGGAGCUGCAGGAGAGAAGAGUACAGGGCACUUUGAGCAGCAAGUGACAGAAAAUCAACCCACACUAGGUUUAAAACAAGAGUGAUUUGUCUGAAGAACACAGAGGCAGCUCCAAAGACCGUCAGCAGGACCCAGAGCCAUUCUGGGGUCUCAGGGACUGGAACUAGGAAUCCAAACAUUGUCAGCAUAUUUUCUCUCUCUCCCUCCCCCCAUCCCUCCUCUGCUCCACUGAGGCUUCAUUCUCUUAAUAGAAGUGGACAUUCUUUGCCCAGCAGGACAAAGUGGCCUUCAGCAAGAGUUAAAGUCACAUCCUGAAAGAUUUGCAACCAGCGAUGUCUUUUCAUCUCUGAAUCUCAGUUGGAAAGAUCCUAGGGAAUGGCUCAGACUGUCUAGGUUUGACUCUUAUGCUCACCUCUUGGACUAUCACUGUGGUUAGGGAGUGGGCUCUCUGAUGACUGAGCCUGUGUCAUGUUUCCUUCUUUGGUCCAGAGUGAGCAGGUCUGUACCUGUGGUGGCUUAGCCCAGACAUGACCACUGGUACAUUUGUUUGUGUUGGCCAGCCCUUAGGACAGGUCCCUGACAGUCACCACCUUGGUCAUUCCUGGUACCCCACUGAGGAAAAGGUAUAGGCAGUUACCAUAAGAACUCCACCCUGGGGGUAUGUGUGUGACCAGGUGUAGUCAGACUGAGUAGGUUCAAAUGUCUGUUCCACCAAUUACUAGACAAACGAUCUUUCUAUGUUUCAGUUUCCUUGUUUAUAAAAUGAAAAUAAAAAUAGUACCAACUUCAUGAAGUUGUUAAUAAGAUUAAAUGACUUAUUAUACGGAAAGCCCUUAGACCAAGCCUGGAAUAUGAAAAAUUAGCUGUCACUAAUACUAACAAAUAUGUCAGUAGAAUAGAACCAUAAAGACAACUCACUAAAUAAGGCCAUGUUUCAUGCUAUUUUCCGUGCCCUUUACAGACCAUGAGGUCUGUGAAGUUACUUUCCAUUUAUCAUCUUCUGCUCUCUGGAAGCUGUCCAGGCUUCCCAAAAGGUGCUCAGUGGGUCUCUGAAGCUACCCUGUGUCUUUCUGGGGCCUCAACCCCAGAGUGAGUGUCUUUCUCCUUUUAUGAUCCAAAAUAGUUUACUUCUCAAAUAAAUAAACUUUUAUUACAGGGUCUUUGUAAGACCUCGGAGAUAAAGCCUCACUUGAAAGCUCACAAUAGGCAAAGCUAUAUAAGCUUUGCUUGGCUGGCUCAACCUGGUCAGGUCCAUAUUUUUGAGCAACCUCCUUCUACCUGCAACAACGGUUCCUCCCACCUUUGGUGGCUUCAUGUCAAUCGGUUUGCCAUCAGACUCUUUUUUACCCAUCACAGGCUUCUAUUCCUAACAGUGCCUUUCUAAGGCUUGGAUUUACUUUCCCUUCGCUUUUUUAAAAUAAAUCUUUCUCUCUGCUUCAUUACACAAACCUCCAUUUGCUCUUAGUCCAACUCAAUUCAGCCAAUACUGUGUGCACUUCUAUUAAAUACCAAUCACUGUGCUUGGCAUGACUCAUUUUAUUUCCUCUUUCUUUUCUCUGCCUUUAAUUCUCUCUUUCUAAGUUUCCUUGAUAGAGGGAACUACAACUUUUGUAUACUUGAAAUAAAAUUCUCUUUGUUGUUGAAAAUAUAUUCAAAAAGAAAUCUUCAUAUAUCAGAACUUCGUAUGAGAGCAAAUUCCAGUUGGGGAUGGUUAUGUGUACUUGACUCUGUCUAUCUCUAUGUCUGUAGUUAGUAUAUUGAUCAUUCCAUAGCAUGAGUUCAUUAUUCACAAUUAAUCCUUUUGUUAAACUUAUAAAGUCCUGAGUUUUGAAGUAAUUUUUCAUAUGCC